AACGAACGCUGGCGGCAUGCCUAACACAUGCAAGUCGAACGAGACCUUCGGGUCUAGUGGCGCACGGGUGCGUAACGCGUGGGAACCUGCCCUUAGGUUCGGAAUAACUCCCCGAAAGGGGUGCUAAUACCGGAUAAUGUCUUCGGACCAAAGAUUUAUCGCCUUUGGAUGGGCCCGCGUUGGAUUAGCUAGUUGGUAGGGUAAAAGCCUACCAAGGCGACGAUCCAUAGCUGGUCUGAGAGGAUGAUCAGCCACACUGGGACUGAGACACGGCCCAGACUCCUACGGGAGGCAGGAGUGGGGGAUAUUUGACAAUGGGCGGAAGCCUGAUCCAGCCAUGCCGCGUGAGUGAUGAAGGCCUUAGGGUUGUAAAGCUCUUUUACCCGGGAUGAUAAUGACAGUACCGGGAGAAUAAGCUCCGGCUAACUCCGUG
Molecule: ribosomal RNA, 433 nt
Filed under: uncultured bacterium
Lineage: Bacteria
Description: partial 16S ribosomal RNA
Rfam family: Bacterial small subunit ribosomal RNA
Source: RNAcentral